GCCCCCCUCCUCCCCCACCCACAAUGCCCCAAAAGCGACGUAGUAACACCGGUCUCCUAAGUCAUGAAAAAAAAUCAAAAAUAAAUCAUUUAUCUUUUUUUCUGUCUUGGAAUGGCCUGAGCUCGAAUUUGCAUUCCCGGAAUAAGAGGAGCGGAGAUGACCAGGAAGAUGUAACUACAUACCUCAGCAGCGAGUGGAGCUUGAAUCUAGGCUCUCAAUCCAUGGAUAAGGGCUCUACCUCUGCACCACAACAGCAUCUUGGAUUGAUUAUUUUUGAUAAGACAAUGUAAUCAACAACAGAUGCUGCCAGACGUACUGAAUUUUCCCAGGAAUUCCUGUUUUUGCUUUGAAAGUACAUCACCAAAAAUUACACUGUCAUGUCCUGUGGUGAUGAAAGGUGUAACAUUAGCACGUCCUAAUUAUUUUAUUAACAUACUGCAUCAUUCUGGUUAAUAAAGUUCCAGUUAUUAACCCUGUAAUACAAUACUGAAAAUAACAAAAAUAGAAAUUGCUGUAAGAACUCAGCAGAUCUGACAGCAUCUGUGGAGAGAAAGCAGAGUUAACAUUUCAGGUCCAAUGACCCUUCUUCAGAACUGAUUGUAGCUAGGAAAAGGUUGGUACAUGCUGAAGAUGGGGUGGGGUGAGGGCCAAGAAUAAAUGCUAGGCGGAGAUGGACCUCAGAGCUAGAGAAAAACAGUUGGCCAGACAAAGGAAUGGGUAAAGGCCAGGCAAGCAGAAUCAACAGCUGCUAAAA
Molecule: long non-coding RNA, 754 nt
Organism: Stegostoma tigrinum
Lineage: Eukaryota; Metazoa; Chordata; Chondrichthyes; Orectolobiformes; Stegostomatidae
Exons: 3
Source: RefSeq, a predicted model, not a curated record